Engraulis encrasicolus (European anchovy) is the source of this 2148-nucleotide long non-coding RNA. RefSeq lists it as uncharacterized. The transcript is spliced from 2 exons. Lineage: Eukaryota; Metazoa; Chordata; Actinopteri; Clupeiformes; Engraulidae. The record is from RefSeq and is a predicted model, not a curated record.
GUGGACAUGAAACAUUACAUUUAUAGCGUUUUAUAUAAGUUAAGUAUAGUUUUAAUUUAUUUAGAGAUGAAAAUUAUGGCAAUAUAAUCGUAGAUCAUUCAAAAAAAAGACAUUUCGGAUACAUUAGUUAUGCAGGCCAUUAUUAAUAUUCGCCGCCAUCUUGUUUAUGACAUCAUCGGGUGUGUUGCAAAAUUCUUCCGGUAUCUCUGUGUUGGUUGGUUCGGUUACUCUGGGAUACUGUGCUCUGCUGCUGCUCACCCGUAGCCUGCUAAAAACUUAGCUAAACUAUGGAGGAUGAAGUGGAGAGAUUUAGCGAAUCCCACGGCUUUCACCCAAUGGUUUAUGCUUUCGAGCCAAUAGUGAAGGAACUGCGUAGCAUUGCCACUACUGGGCAUAUGGAAGCAGGACUAGGGCUAUGCGAAUCGGUUUCGGGAGGUGUGAGCAGGGUGGGCAACAUUGACUGGUGCGUGUGUAAUCAUUGCCAGCCCAUGUGCACGUCGUGGGAGUCAAGGUGUUGCCUUGAGACUGAUUUGGACCAUUUGAUCGAGGGUGAGGCGUGUAUCACCAUGUCUCAGAUGUUCAGCAUCUUCUGCCUUGAAAACGACGUAUUGGAAGUGGCGAUGCUGUCACUACGAGAGGUACGAGGGGAGCCACUGAAGCUGCCCAUCAACAGCAGUCUGUACAGGUUAAUGGCAUACAGGCAGUUCACUCUCUGGGCAAGAGGACACCUGGGGAGGAGAAACAGGAUGCCAAUACCAGCCUGCGUUGUAACCACCAUACGGCACCUAUACCCAUCGCCACAAUAUCAUGGAUUUGAAUACUCUUUUUAAAUCAAAUAAUAACUAUAUUAUAUGUACAACACUUCAAUUUGAACCACAUUCUUUUGCACUUAACAUUUGGAAUGUGACAGAAUUAUUAUAUUAGCCCACAUUACAUUAAUGAAACCAUGUAAGUAUCAUUUGUUUUGUAUUGUGAUUGUUUAUCGAUCCUGUGUGUGAUUUUGUUUUUAUUUAGGAGCUCCUGGUGCAAAUCGGCUGAGAUGCCUUCGUAUUGAAAAGGCCUUCUCAGGCUUUACAACACCUUUGUGCUGUUCCAGUGUGACCACUGGGUCGGGGUCUGACUGUUGCAGUGCUGCUUGGAUGGAAACAGAUCUGCACCUCUUGACUACACCUGACACAAUGUCCUUCCUAAAACUAUAGUCCUUGUUCACUUUCCUGGGAGUGGUGAUGUAGUGUUGUGCUCCCUUUGAGAACUUGUGUUUGAAUUGUUUUCUCCAGUCUCUUCAGGAGGACCUUGUCCAGAACCACCUUCUGGAGGACUUCAAAGCAGCUGAGUCAGGCUGUAACCAGGGAUGCAUUCUUUCUUCCUCAGCUGUGUAAGGUGCAUGUUCACAGUUUGUCAUCGUUUCUCCACAGGUCCACUCGUGAACAUUUGUGAUGUGGAGCAAGUCUGUAGCCAACACGGACACUGACACACCAUGCUCCUUCAGCUGUGAUAGGCACCUCUCCAUGCCCUCUACCUCCAACCAAUAGCUUUUUUUUUUUUUUUUUUUACUUCCGUCACCUCCACAGUCUCCUGUGCCAGCACCAGGCCUGAGUUGGUGUCAAGGAGGGAGUAAGUUCCGAAUGUGGUAUUGUGUCCAGGGCUGUCAUAUCUACAAUCACCACACAGCAGGAGUGGUUCAUCCCCUGCAGCAGCCAGCAGAGACUCAUUAUGGGUGGUCCAUACAUUUUUUACCUCACUGUCACUCUCCUCACUGUCACUCUCCUCACUGCUUUCUAGGUGGUCUUCUCUCAUUUCAAAAUCCUCGUCUGACUCCUCCUCUUCCAUUGCACUACCCUCAUCUAAGUUAUCCCACUCUGUGUCACUUGAGCAGGCGGCAGGCUUUGGUGCUGGCAAGGGUGUUAAGUCCCGCACUGGCUUGCUGUAAGGAUGGUCAUGGUUAAUCCAACUGUCAAUGUUGCCUGUCAUUGUGCCUUUACUGUACUGAUGCACUUCAUCAGUCUGUGUGCCUACACUCACGGUUUUAGGUAGGCCUAAUUGAUGUUCUUGCAGAAUGUCACACUCAGUAGUACUUUCACCGUCUACCUCAAAAUUAAUGGAUGUAUGCCUGACCUACAGAAAUAAAGAAUAUGUUUGCAGUUCAAA